CUUCACUACAACUUUGCAUUGAUUUUGAAUUUUUGAUGUGUAGGAUAGUUGGGACGCUAUGAAGCUGUGUCGCUAGGCAUGGUGGAGCGGUUGUUGAAAUACCAACCUUUAAACAUUUAGAAUCUAAUCCCUAACGGGAAACAGUGCAUGGUGGGUAGUUUGACUGGGGUGGUCGCCUCCUAAAGUGUAACGGAGGCUUGCAAAGGUUCCCUCAGUACGGUUGGUAAUCGUACAUAGAGCGUAUUAGUAUAAGGGAGCUUGACUGUGAGACUUACAAGUCGAGCAGGGACGAAAGUCGGCUAAAGUGAUCCGGCGGUUCUGUAUGGAAGGGCCGUCGCUCAAAGGAUAAAAGGUA
This 355-nucleotide ribosomal RNA is filed under the name uncultured organism. Its description in RNAcentral is "bacterial LSU rRNA". It matches the Rfam family "Bacterial large subunit ribosomal RNA", at positions 2099 to 2465 of the family's 2925-position model. The record is from RNAcentral.